Molecule: long non-coding RNA, 433 nt
Organism: Ochotona princeps (American pika)
Lineage: Eukaryota; Metazoa; Chordata; Mammalia; Lagomorpha; Ochotonidae
Exons: 3
Source: RefSeq, a predicted model, not a curated record
CCAGCCCAAGCAGCAGCUCCUUCCUUCUUCCCCAGGGACUGCCAGGCUGUGCACUGGCUAGUUAACAGGGCCAAGUCUCUUGCAAUAUAAGAUGGUAAAUGGAGUCAGUCCUUGGUCCUGUUGGAGCAGUAGACUAGUACAUGGGGAGGAACACUGGCCAACUCCAAGACAGGGAUCCUGCCUGCAAGACGAAGCCAAGAUAUGCCUACUUGGCAAGCAAACCGGGGCCCUUAAAAUCCAGCAUUGCAAGAUCAAAACUCUGUGAACUUUCUUGGCUGCAAGGAAAGCUCUGAGUUUGCUGAGCUACUCUGUGACUCGGAAAAAUCUGAGAACUGGGAUCUGACAAGCCCCUGUUUUGUGUGACAUCACUGGAACUGAACAAAUAUUGCUUUAGGCAAAUGGCGAUGUAACUAUUAUGUUGUUUUCACAAAUC